CACCGCCUGCUUGUUAACAAUAUAUAUUUUAUUUUGUUUGGCUCGAUUCGAGGAUAUUCGGUCGUCUUUCACAGUGGAGGUGCCGUUUGAGGGGGUUAGUGAGGGGAAGGUAUUCGAAAAGCUUAAGUACGCGCAUCUUAUGAAAAUGAGACCGGCUUACAAAAGGUACCUAUACGUACACCCCGUCAUACAAUAUAAAGCGUCUAUCUAUUCUUUGUACCUACACAUAGGUAGUGUGGCACGCGAUAUCGAUUGUCGAGGAAUACAAUGUAAUAUAAGUACGAUA
Cinara cedri is the source of this 286-nucleotide non-coding RNA. Lineage: Eukaryota; Metazoa; Arthropoda; Insecta; Hemiptera; Aphididae. The record is from the annotation of a GenBank genome assembly.